This is an RNA transcript of Capsicum annuum, 959 nucleotides long. It is a transcript of the gene named protein LITTLE ZIPPER 3, with no coding region annotated. The record is from RefSeq and is a predicted model, not a curated record. NCBI's taxonomy places the organism in Eukaryota, Viridiplantae, Streptophyta, Magnoliopsida, Solanales, Solanaceae. The transcript has 2 exons.
CACACCCCAACAUUUUCUCACUUUUAAAGCAAAAUCUAGCAUCUUCUUCGUAAAAAACAUGGAAGUUUUUCUCUUUCCCUCACUUGAUGGUUAAAGUGCACUUUGACCUGUGUUUUAUAUGAGGAUAAAGAAAAAGUGUGGGGGCUUUGCUGUGAUCAGCUAAUCAAUCAAUACUACUACCUUUUCUAGUGAACUGUGCUAUUCUCGUGUGCCUCUUGGCAUGUUUAUCAAUUAGCAUGUACCAAGUUUACAUGUAUAUGAGACUAUAUAAACAUGAAUAUUUUCAAACAAAGCCCAGAAAAAUUAGAUUCACUCUGAAGGUACUGACCCUUUUGAGUUCCUAAACACAAGUUCAAAGCAAGCAAUACAGCAAUGGAGAGACAGAAUUCAGAGCUGUACCUGCGCAACUGUCAGAUUAUGAUGGAGAAUGAGAGGCUGCGGAAGAAAGCUCAACGUCUCAACCAGGAGAAUCAAGCUUUGUUAUCAGAGCUGAGACGGAAGUUAGCAGCAAUAAAUGCCAAGAGGAAACCUGAAUUUGAAGGUGAUAUGGGUUCGAGUUCUGCCAGUGAUCAAAUGGAAGCCAACAAACGUCAGGCACUGGAAUGAAAGUAAUUGUUGUUCCAAAUCACUUCCUCUAGGCGAUUUAGGCAGUUCAAAAUUAUGAGAAUUUUCUUGGGUUUUACCAAUGUCAGAGAAAUUACCAGCCAAUGUGCCGUCUGAAACAAUUUAUUAUAUUGUUGCGUUUGCCCCAAAAUAAUGUACUAGUUUAGUUAGAGUGCUUAGCUAAAAGGUCUACUACCCUUACAGCGCCAAGAACAAAUUAAGGAAAAGAAUUAUGCUAUCAAGGGGUUGUGAACUAAAAGGCUAAGGUUUUCACUUCACCAGUUAUCAAUCCACAUUCAACUUCCUGUAUAUGCUUGAGAAUGACUGGUAAAAUGCCUUGAAGUGCCUGUAUGCAA